Small nucleolar RNA from Ursus americanus (American black bear), 134 nucleotides. Its record names the gene SNORA70. It matches the Rfam family "Small nucleolar RNA SNORA70". Rfam says of the family: snoRNA U70 seems to be exclusive to mammals and is a member of the H/ACA class of snoRNA which contain H (ANANNA) and ACA box motifs. H/ACA box snoRNAs are involved in the conversion of uridines to pseudouridines (5-ribosyluracil) a constituent of structural RNAs (transfer, ribosomal, small nuclear, and small nucleolar). The record is from Ensembl. Lineage: Eukaryota; Metazoa; Chordata; Mammalia; Carnivora; Ursidae.
AAGAGUUUCAUUAAAAAAUGUUAUCUUCAAGUCGACUGUGCUCUUUCUCCAUGGGGGCCCAAAGAGUAGCCUCCUUGGUGGUGUAUGCAGCCGGCUGAUUGUAUGGGUUGCCCUAAGGGACCUUGGAGACAGCC